This 247-nucleotide ribosomal RNA is filed under the name Glutamicibacter soli. Its description in RNAcentral is "partial 16S ribosomal RNA". It matches the Rfam family "Bacterial small subunit ribosomal RNA", at positions 1260 to 1506 of the family's 1533-position model. Lineage: Bacteria; Bacillati; Actinomycetota; Actinomycetes; Micrococcales; Micrococcaceae. The record is from RNAcentral.
AGGUCAAGCAAAUCCCAUAAAACCAUUCUCAGUUCGGAUUGCAGGCUGCAACUCGCCUGCAUGAAGCCGGAAUCGCUAGUAAUCGCGGAUCAGCAUGCCGCGGUGAAUACGUUCCCGGGCCUUGUACACACCGCCCGUCACACCACGAGAGUCGGUAACACCCGAAGUCGGUGAGGUAACCUUUUGGAGCCAGCCGCCGAAGGUGGGACCAAUGAUUGGGGUGAAGUCGUAACAAGGUAACCGUAAA